Molecule: small RNA, 28 nt
Filed under: Bombyx mori (domestic silkworm)
Lineage: Eukaryota; Metazoa; Arthropoda; Insecta; Lepidoptera; Bombycidae
Description: ovarian small RNA-32941
Source: RNAcentral
UGAUGUGCAGCGUUUUCUUCCGGAUUCA